Molecule: ribosomal RNA, 447 nt
Filed under: uncultured bacterium
Lineage: Bacteria
Description: partial 16S ribosomal RNA
Rfam family: Bacterial small subunit ribosomal RNA
Source: RNAcentral
AACGAACGCUGGCGGCAGGCUUAACACAUGCAAGUCGAACGCAUCGCAAGAUGAGUGGCAGACGGGUGAGUAACGCGUGGGAACAUACCCUUUUCUACGGAAUAGCUCUGGGAAACUGGAAUUAAUACCGUAUACGCCCUACGGGGGAAAGAUUUAUCGGGGAAGGAUUGGCCCGCGUUGGAUUAGCUAGUUGGUGGGGUAAAGGCCUACCAAGGCGACGAUCCAUAGCUGGUCUGAGAGGAUGAUCAGCCACAUUGGGACUGAGACACGGCCCAAACUCCUACGGGAGGCAGCAGUGGGGAAUAUUGGACAAUGGGCGCAAGCCUGAUCCAGCCAUGCCGCGUGAGUGAUGAAGGUCUUAGGAUUGUAAAGCUCUUUCACCGGGGAAGAUAAUGACGGUACCCGGAGAAGAAGCCCCGGCUAACUUCGUGCCAGCCGCCGCGGUAA